Molecule: ribosomal RNA, 468 nt
Filed under: uncultured bacterium
Lineage: Bacteria
Description: partial 16S ribosomal RNA
Rfam family: Bacterial small subunit ribosomal RNA
Source: RNAcentral
GACGAACGCUGGCGGCGUGCUUAACACAUGCAAGUCGAACGGAAAGGCCCUGCUUUUGUGGGGUGCUCGAGUGGCGAACGGGUGAGUAACACGUGAGUAACCUGCCCUUGACUUUGGGAUAACUUCAGGAAACUGGGGCUAAUACCGGAUAGGAGCUCCUGCUGCAUGGUGGGGGUUGGAAAGUUUCGGCGGUUGGGGAUGGACUCGCGGCUUAUCAGCUUGUUGGUGGGGUAGUGGCUUACCAAGGCUUUGACGGGUAGCCGGCCUGAGAGGGUGACCGGCCACAUUGGGACUGAGAUACGGCCCAGACUCCUACGGGAGGCAGCAGUGGGGAAUAUUGCACAAUGGGCGGAAGCCUGAUGAAGCAACGCGGCGUGCGGGAUGACGGCCUUCGGGUUGUAAACCGCUUUCGCCUGUGACGAAGCGUGAGUGACGGUAAUGGGUAAAGAAGCACCAGCUAACUACGUG